UACGUAGGGACCAAGCGUUGUUCGGAUUUACUGGGCGUAAAGGGCGCGUAGGCGGCGUGACAAGUCACUUGUGAAAUCUCUGGGCUUAACCCAGAACGGCCAAGUGAAACUGUUGUGCUAGAGUGCAGAAGGGGCAAUCGGAAUUCUCGGUGUAGCGGUGAAAUGCGUAGAUAUCGAGAGGAACACCAGAGGUGAAGACGGGUUGCUGGGCUGACACUGACGGCUGAGGCGCGAAAGCCAGGGGAGCAAACGGG
RNAcentral lists this ribosomal RNA (254 nucleotides) under uncultured bacterium. RNAcentral's name for it is "partial 16S ribosomal RNA". It matches the Rfam family "Bacterial small subunit ribosomal RNA", at positions 524 to 776 of the family's 1533-position model. The record is from RNAcentral.